RNAcentral lists this long non-coding RNA (353 nucleotides) under Rosa chinensis. Its description in RNAcentral is "sRNA RchiOBHm_Chr5g0026291". The record is from RNAcentral. Lineage: Eukaryota; Viridiplantae; Streptophyta; Magnoliopsida; Rosales; Rosaceae.
CGGAAUCUAGGGCUCCCGCGAAGCUAGGCGACGAAGCAAGGGCGCGAGAGCGACCCCAGAGGCGAAGCAAGCUCGUGACUCUGGCGGCGAAGCAAGCGCACGACCCCAGCAGUGAACCAAGUGCGCGACCUGACGGCGAAGUAAGGGGGCGACCCAGCAACGAAGCAAGCAGGCGACCCGGCUAAGAAGCAAGGACUCUGGCGGUGAAGCAAGAGCACGAUCCCGGCGACGAACCAAGUGCGCGACCCGAUGGCAAAGCAAGGGGGCGACCCGGUGGUGAAGCAAGCGGGCGACCCGGCUGAGAAGCAAGGGCGUGACCCCGACGGUGAACCAAGCGCGCGACCCCCGCGGCG